RNAcentral lists this ribosomal RNA (464 nucleotides) under uncultured Tomentella. RNAcentral describes it as "eukaryotic LSU rRNA". The stretch from base 137 to 291 matches the Rfam family "5.8S ribosomal RNA". The record is from RNAcentral. Lineage: Eukaryota; Fungi; Basidiomycota; Agaricomycetes; Thelephorales; Thelephoraceae.
AUCCACUCACACCUGUGCACCCUCUGUAGUUCUAUGGCUUGGGGGACUCUGUUCUCCUGUCAUGGUUCUACGUCUUUACACACACUCUGUAAUGAAGUCUCAUGGAAUGUAUGCCGCGUUUAACGCAAUACAAUACAACUUUCAGCAACGGAUCUCUUGGCUCUCGCAUCGAUGAAGAACGCAGCGAAAUGCGAUAAGUAAUGUGAAUUGCAGAAUUCAGUGAAUCAUCGAAUCUUUGAACGCACCUUGCGCCCUUUGGCCAUUCCGAAGGGCAUGCCUGUUUGAGUAUCAUGAACACCUCAACUCUCAUGGUUUGCCAUGAUGAGCUUGGACUUUGGGGGUCUUGCUGGCCUGCGGUCAGCUCCUCUCAAAUGAAUCAGCUUGCCAGUGUUUGGUGGCAUCACAGGUGUGAUAACUAUCUACGCUUGUGGUUUUCUACCAGGUAACCUUCAGCGAUGGAGGUU